GAAGCGGAGACCGGAGCCGCGAGCGCCACCAGGGCAGCAGCCGCCGCAGCCGCCGCCGCUGGGCAGAGGAGCCGGAGACGCGAGCGGGCGAGGUGGCGGCGGCGGCGGAGCGGGAGCGGGUACCGGGCGCGGGCAGAGCGCGGCGGCGCGGGUGUGUUCCAGAGAACAAGCCUUCAGACAUUUGCUAUAUUGACGCUGAGCUGUCAGGGGACUCAGGCUUAUGAGGAGGUAUUGUUACACAAAACAGUGUCUAGUGAAGACGACAAGAAAGAGGGGAAAGGAUCGGAAAAAGAAGCUAAAAUACUAUAGAAAACCAUGAGAUCUAUUCGAUCUUUUGCUAAUGAUGAUCGCCAUGUUAUGGUGAAACAUUCAACAAUCUAUCCAUCUCCGGAGGAACUUGAAGCUGUUCAGAAUAUGGUAUCUACUGUUGAAUGUGCUCUUAAACAUGUCUCAGAUUGGUUGGAUGAAACAAAUAAAGGCACAAAAACAGAGGGUGAGACAGAAGUGAAGAAAGAUGAGGCCGGAGAAAACUAUUCCAAGGAUCAAGGUGGUCGGACAUUGUGUGGUGUAAUGAGGAUUGGCCUGGUUGCAAAAGGCUUGCUGAUUAAAGAUGAUAUGGACUUGGAGCUGGUUUUAAUGUGCAAAGACAAACCCACAGAGACCCUGUUAAAUACAGUCAAAGAUAAUCUUCCUAUUCAGAUUCAGAAACUCACAGAAGAGAAAUAUCAAGUGGAACAAUGUGUAAAUGAGGCAUCUAUUAUAAUUCGGAAUACAAAAGAGCCCACGCUAACUUUGAAGGUGAUACUUACCUCACCUCUAAUUAGGGACGAAUUGGAGAAGAAGGAUGGAGAAAAUGUUUCGAUGAAAGAUCCUCCGGACUUAUUGGACAGGCAGAAAUGCCUGAACGCCUUGGCGUCUCUUCGACAUGCCAAAUGGUUUCAGGCAAGGGCAAAUGGAUUAAAAUCAUGUGUAAUUGUCCUCCGCAUUCUGCGUGAUUUGUGCAACAGAGUCCCCACAUGGGCACCAUUGAAAGGAUGGCCACUAGAACUUAUAUGUGAAAAGUCUAUAGGUACUUGUAAUAGACCUUUGGGCGCUGGGGAGGCCUUGAGACGAGUAAUGGAGUGUUUGGCAUCUGGAAUACUACUUCCUGGGGGUCCUGGUCUUCAUGAUCCUUGUGAGCGAGACCCAACAGAUGCUCUGAGCUAUAUGACCAUCCAGCAAAAAGAAGAUAUUACCCACAGUGCACAGCAUGCACUCAGACUAUCAGCCUUUGGCCAGAUUUACAAAGUGCUGGAGAUGGACCCCCUUCCAUCUAGUAAGCCUUUUCAGAAGUAUUCCUGGUCAGUUACUGAUAAAGAAGGUGCUGGGUCUUCAGCUCUAAAGAGGCCAUUUGAAGAUGGAUUAGGGGAUGAUAAAGACCCCAACAAGAAGAUGAAACGAAACUUAAGGAAAAUUCUGGAUAGUAAAGCAAUAGACCUUAUGAAUGCACUAAUGAGGCUAAAUCAGAUCAGGCCUGGGCUUCAGUAUAAGCUCCUAUCUCAGUCUGGCCCCGUUCAUGCCCCAGUCUUCACAAUGUCUGUAGAUGUGGAUGGCACAACAUAUGAAGCCUCAGGACCAUCCAAGAAAACAGCAAAACUUCACGUAGCGGUGAAGGUAUUGCAGGCAAUGGGAUAUCCAACAGGCUUUGAUGCAGAUAUUGAAUGUAUGAGUUCCGAUGAAAAAUCAGAUAAUGAAAGUAAAAAUGAAACAGUGUCUUCAAACUCAAGCAAUAAUACUGGAAAUUCUACAACUGAAACCUCCAGUACCUUAGAGGUAAGAACUCAGGGCCCUAUCCUCACAGCAAGUGGCAAAAACCCUGUAAUGGAGCUCAAUGAAAAAAGAAGAGGUCUCAAGUAUGAACUCAUCUCAGAGACUGGUGGAAGCCAUGACAAGCGCUUUGUAAUGGAGGUAGAAGUAGAUGGACAGAAAUUCAGAGGCGCAGGUCCAAAUAAGAAAGUGGCAAAGGCGAGUGCAGCUUUAGCUGCCUUGGAGAAACUGUUUUCUGGACCCAAUGCGGCAAAUAAUAAGAAAAAGAAGAUUAUCCCUCAGGCAAAGGGCGUUGUGAAUACAGCUGUGUCUGCAGCAGUCCAAGCUGUUCGGGGCAGAGGAAGAGGAACUCUAACAAGGGGAGCUUUUGUUGGGGCGACAGCUGCUCCUGGCUACAUAGCUCCAGGCUAUGGAACACCAUAUGGUUACAGCACAGCUGCCCCUGCCUAUGGUUAAUACUUUUAAGCAGUUUUCAGCACGUUUAUCUCACUUUAUUCUCGUUCUCCUCGGACCUUCGUAGCCAUAUCACUUGUAUAAAAUAGGCUGAGAUAUAGUGACUGUAAGCUGUGAUCUCAGUAUACAAAGAACCAACUUCAGCAAGACUCGGGUGGUGAAUAUCGAGUCUGCAGAGACCAAAUAGACUUAAAGCAAUCCAUCUGUCUUUUCCAGGUUAGGUAGCUAGAUUAUUUAUUUCCCACCUUAUUCAACCAUCAUGGAGUUCAUGUAAAGAUGUGAGGGUUAGGCAGACAUUUUAAUAAAGAUUUGCUUCAUUUAGGUGUGUCCCAUAAAUGCAUUUAAUUGUGUUAGAUGUUGUGUGCUAAGGCUGUAUUUGAUAUAUGUAGAUUAAAAUGAAUUUCAUGUUUCAUAUUUGUUUCUAAGUAGCAGUUUCUUUUGAUGACUCACUUUAAAGUUGCUGGAACAACUCUUGUUUUUUUCCAUGCAGAAUCUGUAUGUACAUUUAAUGUGGCUUUGGCAUCUAUAAAAGGUUGUAUGAGGUAUAGCUGACUAGUACUGAGUGCGAUCCAGUCCUGCUGAAACAGCCCAGUGCCUAUUAGGUACCAGGUCCUCUUCUGGGUACAAGUGAACAGAGGCUGUGACCAGUGGAAGCAUUUUAAUUCUGACAGUCUCCUUGUUGUUGGAAUUGGGCCUAUUACAAAUAUCCUACUUUGGGAACCAGAUACUUAGUUAACUGUGGCAAAAAGAAUAUUAGCUCAGUUAUUAGUUUAAUUAUAAACUAUUUAAUAAUGUAGGCCCUCUGACAUCACCAAAAUAGGCGUCACUUGGAAAUUCACUCAUUUAAAAUAUUUCCCUGGCAGUUUUGAGAGCCUGAAACCUACUCUGGUUUAUGUUCAUGGACCUCUGUCCAAUAAGUGAACGUAAUGAAAUGAAUUCAUAACAAAUACUCCGGUCCUUUCCAAGUAGUUUUUAUAGUAGAACAAAGGACAAAGUGGUUAAUUUAAACACGGAGCACAUUUUUUUUAAUGACAGAUGAGAAAGUUUCACCCUUAUAAUCAGUCAUUCACCAUAAUUUCCCUGUUUCCUAGAUUUCAUUAAUAACUGGAGGGAAAUCUUCAGCAGUGAGUUAGAGAGGAAAGAACUAAGGAGAUCCCCCCUGCUUUCCCCGCCCCUGCCCCCCCCCCCCCACCCCCCCGCCCGCAAUUAGAUUUCAAGCAAUCCAGAGCCCUAUACACCAGGGUCAUUAAGAGCAGUUAAAGCUGAAAACAACCUGCUCUGUGAAUGGUCUUCCCCUAAUUCCCAUUCAUCUGAUGCCAGUGCCUCCUGAGAGAGGGUGGGGGCUAUCUCUGAAUCAUCCAGAAUGAGAAAGGUUCUGUGUAUUCAAACUCAUACUCUAUACAGUCUGACGCCAUGCUGUGCAGUGACCACAGGUUUCUCGGUGUUAUUAGGAGUCUUGGAAAGGAGAUGGGUGGUAAAUGGAUAACAACAGCAGAGCCAAGAAACUACUGCUGAGGUGGGUUUCAAUAUUGAUGUGUUUCUCUCUAGCCCUUAUUUACAGAGCACAGAGCUAGUACUUAUAUAAGAAUGAGUCCCUUCCUUUCUUAAUAGCCUCUUCCCAAAAGACUGUUUUAAGUCAAGAAUUCCAGUUGAGUUGGUUGUAAGAAUAGAUAUCCUUUCCCACAUUAUCAUUUUAGGUAGGAACUAACAGAUUCCAUUGAUGCUUUGAAGCAGCGAUCUUUGGAGGUUUUUAAAAAUAGUACCAUAAUGCAAAUUAGGUUAUGUAAGCUUUACAGCACAGCUAGAAAUAGAGACUAGAAACCAUGCGGGAAUCUGGGCCAAAGAAUUUCUCUCCUUCCAGCACAUUCCCAUGGGGCUCAGGAAUUAGAUGAGUUAAUACACAUAAUAUGUUUUGAACAGUACCUGGUGCAGAGUACGUACUCAGUGAAUGUUGAGUGUUCUUACCAUGGUUGGCCGAGGUGAGGAUGAACGUGAGGAGGGCAAGGCUCUGCCAACAGGUGUUGGAGAGGCAGGUGCAUGGCCUGCUCAGGGUGGAGCUGUGUCGGUUCCUUGGUGCUGAUAGGCGUCAGCUGCUGCCAGGCUUUGGGAGAAGACUCCUGGUAUCUAGGGGUUAGACAAGAAACACACCCCAAAGACCUGGUGAGAGCUAGUGUGGUGGCGUUGCUGCAGAUCCAAGCUUAAGGAAGUUGCUCAUGUGUCUGUUACAGUAGUUAAAUUACCAGCCAGUCUGCUGCCAAGGGUUUGUAAAUACUUGUUUUUUGGCGGGGGGCGGGGGGUGGGAUUUAAGGGUGCUUAGAACUUCAUAAGGGCUGAUCUUAGAAUAUCUACCUGCUGAGUCCAAGUGUCCAACCAGUGCAUUAAUAAUUUUUUAAAAAGGUGUUUGGUUACAACUGCCUCCGGAAUCUAACCUUCAGGGCUUACCAGUGUUUAGUAGGUAGAAAGCAAGUUCCUUUAAAGCACAGAAAGGAAAGGAGGAAACUGAUUGGUGUGCUUAAAAGGCUGUUGACUAGGAUGCUUCAGUGAAAAGCACUCCUAUAGCUUGUCUCUUCUAGUUUGCUUUGAUACUUUUGGGGGGAAAAAUCUGCACUCAACACCAUAUGAGGCCUCCCUUCUGCCUAUUAGUCUUAGAGAAAACAUAUCUGCCCAUCUAUUCGUCUUUCUUUUUGUCUAUCCAUUUACUGUCUGGACACAGUUGGAAAGUUGCUUUUUUUCGAUAAGAGGAAAAUGGGUACAUGAUGAAAUUGAUGCUUUUGGAUUAAAUAGAGGGUGCACGUCUUAUCUUCCAUUCCUUUGUGUGUCUACAAAGACUUCAGGAGCCUCUGCAGAAAGGUGGUCAGAUGCAUCCUUGGCUGUUGGUAAGAGGUGAGCUAAGUGGGGAACAUAGAUUGGAGCCCUCAGAUGCUCCAAGUUUAUAAAAACUGCGUUACGUAGACAAGGACUGAGUGUUACCUUUAAGGAGGCAAAUAAGAUUUGGCUUGUAGUCAGGAGGUUUUUCUUAAAUCUAAGAAAUACUUGUUUAGCUAAUGUCCUGCAAAAGUUAGUACAUUCCCCCCAGGGGAGGCUGUUUGGUGGAGUCUUUGCCUUGUUCAGCCAGCAUUGAGGGAGGACUUUUUUGCCUUGACUGAUCAGUUGUCAACAUUCUAAUUACUUACUCCUUCUGAGGAGGGUCUUGGUCUCUCUUGGCAGAACUUUGCCAUUUCUGCAGAUGAACUGUGCCACCCUGCUGGUGGGCAGAGUGAAGAUAGCCACUGUUUGCCCAGGCAGUUUCAGCACUGGACAAAAGGUGUCUGCAUGCAGGUGUCUGCUAAAUGCCCCAAGUAAUGAGGUGAACAGCAGCCCUCAGUUUAGGUCAUUUGGAGCAGCAGUGGACUGAAGGAGUAGGAAGGGAAGGGGAAGGAGAGAUGCCAACAUUUGUAUCUUGUGUGCCAGGCACUUGGACAUUCUUCUGAAUUCUCCAGCUACCUUUCUGGCAAUAGUAGUAUCCUUAGUUUACAAAAGAAACUGAUGCUCCAGGUUAAGUGCUAGAACCAUUAAUGGAACCUAGUUCUGUUCUAAAGCCUUUUUCUAUUCCAUCCUGCUAUGGAUUAAAAGGCUGCGGCCGACAGGAUGGGCUCUGCUGGUAGCUAGGCCCUCUGACUUGAGGUGACUCCAGAUCAGAUAACCUGGCCUAAAAUAGGGCUCUUUUCAUUUAAAUUGGUUGUGAAGAACGAUUUAACAUACUGGAAGGACAGACUGAAGGGCUGCAUUGCAUCUGUAUCCACAGAGGAAGCAUUUUUAUCUAAAGCUUGUUUUUCUUUGAAUUUCAGUGAAAUCUGAGGUAUGUGUUUUCACUUAGCUUAUAUUUUCCGAGUGCAUGUUCUCUGCCUGGCCUGAGAUAGGUCAUGAGGAUGUCUUCAACAAUUUAAGCCAGACUCUGAAGGCAGGCUGGUGAGGCUUUGGCUCAUUGGGUACAAGGAAGAGGAGCACAGAGGGGCAGCAGCCCAGGUCUGAGGUGUAAGUGCAAGGGGGUGUCCCUGGACGAGUACUCAGUAGAGAUGGGUGGUGGCAGAUUGCAGAGGUCAGUGGUCAUUGCCAGGAGUUUCCCUUGGAGUAGGCCUCAGGGCAGACUGCCAGCCUGGAGUUUGCUGUCUUCCCUCCAAGUUGGACCCGUGUAUGGUAAGCCCUGCUUGGAUGGCUUUGGGGUCUCUAAAUUGCUGCCUGUGAACCACCCUGUUGAGCGUGUUGGAUUCUUCUGCUGCUGUAACCACUUUACCAGCUCCUGGGCUAAUGAAUGACAGCUGGGUCUCUGCUCAGGCGUGGGUGGGUGCGGGGAUGGCUGCGGGAUCCUUUUCAGGACAAAGUAUUCCUCAUCCACCCCAAGUCAUCCUCUUUCUGGGCACUUGGCAAUGUUUCUGUGCACCCUGCUGUAAUCCUGGAGGGGAGCAGGAAAAAGGAACCUUUGAAUCCCAGGCUGUCGUGUUCUAGAGCAUGACUGUGUCAGGGAGAAUGAGCGCCUGGCAUUCAUAGAACACAGUCCUCUCUCAGGCCCUUUCCCGUUUGCCAUUUCAUGACUUGCUGUACUGGUGGCCCUUGGAGAAGCAGCAGUGCAUAGAUCGUUGUUCCCACCUUGCAGACAGGGAGAGUAGAGCCCAGAGAUCUCUCCAAACCACACUGCUUAUUUGUGGCAAAGCAUUGUGGCCCCUAAUGAGUUUUUAACCACCAGAAGAAAUAACAUUUCUUAAGACUGUUUUUAGAGGUAACAGCAGCCCUUUCUGAGGAAUUAGUUUUGAAUUUCACCACAACUGGAAUUAGAAAUUUUCUCCUUUUACAGAUGAGGAAAUAGAUGCUUAGAUAAGGUGACUUGCCCCAAAUUAUAGUGCGGUGAGUGGCGGCGCUCACCCCGUCUGAGGCUAUGCUGUGUGCAGGUGGUUUGCGUCGCUAGUAGGCACCAAUGUCCGUUCUGUCUUCCAAGCCCACUUGGCAGCAGUGGCUUCUCUCUCUGUGAUGUGUUCGGCUCACCUUUCCUGUAGGCUUCUGGGCUAUCCCCUGUGCGCCUUGAAACCAAGCAAAAACCAACCCACAUCUCCCUGAUCCUUCCUUAGCCUCCUAAAAUCCAGACUUUCUGGGCUCGUUCUUUUUCUGUUCCUUUGUUAGUGUGCUACUGGGCAAGGUGACCAACUGGUCAGCCCUGGGCCAGGCAGCCUGUUUUUUUGUUUUGUUUUCUUUUUUGCCAGCUACACAGUUGGGGUUAAUUUCUACAGACCAUCAUUUUAUACUGUAACUGAACCCUAUAAUAAAGUGCAAAUUCAGUAAUUGCUACUUGGAGAGCUCCUCAGGGGUGGGAAGGAGGACAGGGGAUGUGCUGUUGGAAGUAUGUGUUUUAUGUUCCGCCUCAUCCACACUUUGGUUUUUGGCCACAUCCUCCGUUCCUGGCUCGGCCUUCAAACAUGUGCUCUAACCCAUGGGAUCACCGUCACAGUAACACAUUUUCCAGAGCAAUCUGGUGUUGGGAUCCCCUUGGAUUCUUCCAUCAUGAGACUUCUCGGAAGUCUCAGCUUUCUAAAAAUCCCUCAUUCCUGCAGAGGCUACGUUAAAGGAAUAUGGUAGCCAUCAUCUGGGAGGUAAAAAACCUAUGGAAAUUGGCACCUGGGGAACUCAGGAAAGCUGAAAGCACCUUGAAAUGAGAUGGAAGGACCAGAAGGUUAAGGCUGGUGAAGAGGAGACCUGGAGAGAACGUGGGCACUCCUGCCAGGUAUUUUUAAGGGAUUAUAUUUAUUUGUUGUAUGUGGUUCCAAAGGGUGAAAGACAAUUAUGGGAAGCCAGUGGGGCAAUUUGAGCUAAAAUACACCUCCCGCGAUGACAGACGCAGCCUUGAGAGAGCAGCUGAGGUGCGACAUGAGCUCCCUGUAACCAGCAUGUUCAAGCAAGAAGCCGGUUGUGUGGACGGCAAAGAGGAAAUGCUGUGGAAUGUCAGUUUGGACGAACUCUGAUGUUGACUGGUGAUGCUGCCAAGACCAUGUCUCCCUUCUUGGGCACGUAGAUUUAUUGAGAAAAACCAUUCACUGUCACCUACUGCUUCUUACCAGGCUCUGUGAUGGGGGAGAAGGAGCAGUUGGAGAAAAUGUCAGAAUCUGCAGCUUAGACAACUGAGUAGAAGGUGAAAUCAUUGACCCAGAUGGAGAGUACAGGGAGGGGAAGAAAGAGGUGCAGAGGAUUUGAACAGAAUGAGAGUCCUCCUCUGUGCAGGGAGAAAGGCUUCAGUGGGUCUCCCCCUCCCUGCUAGGGAUCCUCCUUGCCAGCCCUGGGCUGGGCGCUGGCAGGCCCGUUCCCAGGUCUCCCGCCGAGGGCAGGAGAGGAGCCAGGCCUCAGGAGAGAAGUGCUUACUGAGUAAUUUACCAAGAGCGAUAGGCUUCCCACUGAGCCAGACGGGAUCCCCAGGAGGGGAGUCAGAGGCGGGCCUGGCAUGCAUGCACAGAGAGAGUGUGCCCACUUGGGGAGUGUGAAGGGCCUUGCUGUGGGACCCGAGAGGAUGAGCAGAGUCAAGUGGCAGGUGGGACACACAGUCUGCAGUCACUUCUUAAAAGGCCCUGGGUGGUGUGUCCUUCAAUGAUGACCAUUGUCCACAAUAGUGAGUUCCAGAGGGUCGAUUGGGACAGUUGGAUAGCCAAGGACCAGAGUCAGGAGGCAAGGCUGAUGAGCAAGAGGCUGUUGCCAUUGGCCAGGCGAGGCGUGAGGGAGGCUGAUGGAGCGCAGCAGCAGAGGGAUGGAGAGGCAGGAAUGGCAUCUCCUCACAGGCCAGGCUCCUCUGCCGGAUUGGGUAGGGACGGGAAGAUGAUGGCCCCCAACCCUGGGCCAAGGAACAAUAGCACCCAUCCGGGGGCGGGGGACCUGCUGGAGUACUUCUCCUGGACCACUGCUCAGUGGGCAAUAGAGGGAACAAUGGUGUUUCUGACCAGGACGGGGGAAGGCAGGGGAAUGGAGGAAGAUACUGACAGGGUACAGAGGAGGUAGAAUGGAGCGAGGGCCAUCUCCACCGGGCUAGGAAAUGGGGCUUUGGUGGGCCACACUCCAUUGUGCUGGAGCACUCUGGCAUCUCCAUUGGCAGUGGGGAGGGGCUUGUGACCUAUCAGCAUCUUCACCCUUUCUGAGUUUCCGCCGGGCUGGGCUCUCCAGCCAGGAGUCACAGGUACCGGGUGGUUGUUCAUGCUGAGGCCUUUUGCUUGGCAAAAAGUUAAUCCAUUUGUGUUCAUUUUUAACCUAAGCAAGGGUUGGAGCUUGUUGGAUUCAGCAUCUGUGGAACACAGUCUGUAGCCCAUGGGAAGACGUGGACAUUCUUUCCCAAGUUCUUGAAGGACGGAAAGGACCAUGAACUUGUGAGGUGACCGGAGGAUUGGUUUUGGGUGUCAGUUUUGUGUCUGUCCCAGUGCUGCCACUUUUGCUUUGAAAUGGACGGGGAGAGCUGAAGGCCAGCAUGGGUUUCUGCACCUGUUUCCUACAGCUCUGCUGGGGACUGUGGCUCAGGUGGCAGCUGUGGACACGGAUCCUGUCAGCCUUUGGGUGGCCAGAGCUCCAAGGCCAGGUGUCUCUUAGCUGCAAGCAGCCUUCACUGUUAAUCAACAGGCUACACAAAUCUCACCUCUAAAGAGGUGAAAUGUGAAAAUAUAUGGGAAGCGCUGCCUUAGCCCUGUGUCCACAAAUCCUUUCUGUAAAGGGCCAGAUAGCAUUUCAGGCUUUAUGGACCAUGUGGUCUCUGCCACAACUGCUCAGCUCUGCCACUGUAGCACAAAAGCAGCCAGAGACAGUGCGUAAAUAGAUAGCAUGGCUGUGUUCUGAUGAAGCUUCACUUACAAAUACACAGGGCUGUAGUUUGCCAACCCCUGCAAAGUAGGGAGUAUUUUGCCAAACUUGGCUGUAUUUCACCAACCCCUUAGACUAUAGAGAUGACUUACCCUUUGGCUUAAUCAUGACUGGAAACUUCCUUCCCAUCCACUGCCUGGAUCCAUCCACCUCCCCACAAAGGCUUCCUGAGCAUCUCCUCCGUGUGAGCACUGGCUCAAUGCACAGGACGAUGUAGUUCCUGCCCAUAUGGAACUUAGGUUUUGAGUGACACGUGGGACAUUGGAAGAGGAGAGCAGGUGGCUAAAGAGCAUCAUACAGAACAGGGCUCAGGGAAGUCCCAGGUGAUAGAAUCUCAAAGAGAAGGGCUGAGGGUGAAUCAGGAAAGCCCUGAAGGCAGGCAGCUCCGGAGUCGGGUUUAGACGAGGAGGCUGCAGUUCUCCAGGAAGGGAAGCAGGACCAGAUAACGGAUGAGAUUGUGUCAAACAAUGAGGAGGCCUGCAUAGUCACACAGGCGCAUGAGGUCUGCUCGUAAAGGACCAGGAGGGCCAGGCUCAGGGGUGUGGACUGGAUUCUCUGGGCUGUAGGGAGCCACUGGACAGCUGUGCUCAGGAGGGUCAUGUGAUCACAAAUGCUUAUUAGAAAUGUCACUGGCUAUGGAGGACCAUGUCUGUGGUUGUAAGUUACGCCUUUCCGUUUAGUCUGGACUUCCUGGUCAAGGUACUUUUGGUAUUAGAGUGGGGAAGAGAGGCCCAGAGAGUUGGACAGGUUUUCUGACCAUUGGCUUAUAGUCAGUGAGCACCCCACCUUUAUUUUGACAUGACAGAGCUUUACAGAAUCUUCCUUCUUCAGGCGUUUUCUUUCCUGCUAUCCUAAAGAUUCACGUACGAGGGCAGGAUAAAUGAAACAUUCUGUCUCCAAUCUAAGUUCGGCUUGGGGCCUCAGAAUAUGAAGGUAAAGGGGCGGGGACGGACUGACUGCCCCUUGCUUCAGAAUCAAGUCACAUGGCGGGAACGCUCUAUGGAGCAGAUUGCUUCCUUUGUACAUGCCCUAGGCCCGUGUUCAGCAGGCCUCAGAGAAGCAGAGGUGCUGGCCUCUCGUCUCCAGAGGCUGCCAGCUACUAAGGGAGGUGGAAGCAACUACCCCUGGGGGUGGACUGCUCUGGGCCGGGCCCGACGUCAGGCGUAGGGGACUGAGGUGAAUCAGACGUGGUGGCUGCAUUGAGGAAUGCUCAGUGUAGUUGGGGUGUUUGUAGCGCUUUCUGCUGAGCAUGGUCUUUCCUCUCAGAGGGGUUUCUAGGCACGUUGAAGGGAGCUGCCGUUCAGAGCAUCGGAGAGGUGCCAGGGACGUGAGCUGCUGCCAGUCUGACGUGAACAGAAGGUGGGAAUAGCUGGCGCUGCCGUGCGUUGAUAGGAGCACAGUGUCCGCUGCGAAGGGGCGGCUAGGGCUGGAGAAAGAUGGCCUGAUAGAAGCGCCUCCACAGGCGCUGAUUCAGCGAAGCCCCAGCAGCCCCGCGGGGCAGGCGAGGAUCACAUGCAGCUCGGAGAAGAGGAGGCACUUGCCCCUCUGCCUGAGCUGGGAGGUGGUGGCCAGCUGCACACAGGGCUGUCCCAGGAUGCUGACGAGGCGGGACCAGCCACAGGCCGGCAGCGCUGCACUGUGACUCCCUUUCACGGGGCCCAGCCUUGUCUCUGGCCUUCCGGGACUGAGUCAGGAGGCGAGGGCUACGUUGCUGCCCCAGCACAGUCGGGCCAGGUGUGGGGAAAGGCGGGAGGGAGGUGUGCUGUGCUCUGAGCAGCCUGGCAGGCCCUGGAGAGGCAGGAAGCCACUGCAAACUUCAGAAACUGGGUGCUGCUUCCUCUCGGUGAAGUUGUGUUUUGCUAAUCUCUGAUAAUCAGGUCAGGGAUACAGAAGGAAGAGUUGCCCCUGGGUGGCUGCUGUCUUUAGACUUGUCGGGCUCCCUCUGGUACAGAAGUGCCUCUCGGAUUUUGCUGCCUGGUCUUCUCUCUUAUGGACAUGGAGUAGCUCUCAGGCUCUUAUGGUACAGCUCUAAGAAGGAACACUUCUUGCAUUGUCUAGUGAAGUUUCUGGGUUUAUGGAAGGGAAACUGACAAACUGGAGCCGGCACAGAUGGACACUGGGUAAAGAGAAUGCAGCCUGUCCCUGGCUGCAGUGCCAGGUGUGGCCUUUCCUGUGACAGCAAGUCACGUGCUGUGGCUCCAGCUUCAUAGGAAGGCUCUUGUCUGUCAGGCAGUGGAGUUACUUACAGACAAGAGCCUUGCUCAGGCCAGCCCUGCCCCUGCCUACAGGCACAGGUGCUUUGCCAUCUGUCCCGUUUUCCUGCUUAGGGAACCAAGAUGGUCAGAAAGUUGCUUGACUCUAACCUAAAUAUUUCUGCCGCUUUUGCGAGUCAGACUCUUUUUCUUUUCCUUGUUCAUGGAAAUGGAUCAAGGAGUAGGAGUUUUAGAUAGCUAGGGAGGUGGUGAGAAGUUCCGUCUCCACCUGUAAUUUACAAGUCGUGUCUUAGGUUUCCAGCCUCUUUCCUCUGUUCUGGGUAUCUCGUGCUCUCCACCCUUUAGGGAUUUUGGUGUGGUGGGUCCGUGGCAAGACACUCGAUCCAGACACACGCAUUUCCGAGGCACUUCCAUGUCACUUACCAAGCCUCCUUGUGUGUGGAUAUCACUUCACUGGCUCCCUCAGGCUGCAGCCCUGACCCCCAAGGUAGUGAUGGCAGCUGGUGCAUGAGGUUUGAUUUGGAAGUAGCCAGGCAAGCCCUGGUUGCAAAAAAUACCUCUUCUAUUCCGACAGCGGGCCAGAGGCCGCUGCCAUUAGACGCAUCCCUCUACUUACCCCCGAUCACUUUUCAUGGUCAGGCCGGCCUUGCACAAGCAGGUUCUGUUCACUGCGCACCCCCAUUUCUUAGAUGGGGUACUGAGCACUGCUUUUCCCUUAGCUCACUUCAUGUGGCAGCUUCUCAGGGAUGGGACCUACCAUGGCUGUGGGAGAUGCUUUGCUACUACUUACUACCUUUCCGAGGGAGGAGGGCUCAUUUUUAGAAAUGUUACUGGGGAGCCAAAUUGUAGGCCUCCGACCAGAGGGCCUCGCUCUCUCCAUCUCCCAGGAACCAAGGGUAGCUCUGGCUCUCUGAGGAGCUGUCUCCAGCCUCCAGGUGGACGUCCUUUCCAGCAUACCAGGGCUUAUGGAGGCAAAAUGAAAGCUGGUCCACGUGGGAACUCCCUACUGUUGUCCUUUCCUUGGGCAGACACCAUAUACUUUUUAGCUCCUAGCAGUGUUUAUCCCGUUUUCCCCAAAGCAUCCUUGGACUCAGGCCUUUCAUCCUGGACCCAUCUGUCUGGCCUGUUGUGCUGAGCCUUUGGUCUAAGUGGUUGGUUGGUCCCAGCCACUUCUUCAAAAGAAGGUUUCCUGAGGUAACCAUAAAUUAGGGCAAUCGUACUUCCAGGAACAGUGAGGCUGAUGGGCCUGUUCCCAAGGGUACUUUGGCAGGGGGUGCUGGGGAAGGGGCUGGCCUAGGGCCAGGUUCAUCAUACCGUUAGCCCUGCAGCCCCAUGCCUGUGUGUCCUGGUUUACCCGCCGUGUAGUGGUCCUGCAGGAGUGGAGCCUGUAGGACUUGCUUCUCAGCGGCUCCAAGCAGAACUCUGUCUGGGAAGGUGGGAGGUGCAGCCAGUCUAGACCUGAAGCCCUCACACUAAGGACUAAGGUAGGCCUGCUCAGCCUUAGCCCUUCGUCAGGCCCAAGGGUGGGGGAGGCAGGAGGAGGCUGAGCGUAGUCGUGGAUAGAAACCUUUCCCUACCGCACGGUUACACACAUGGCAUGGGACUCCUGGCUGUAGCUCACUCGGGUCUACUGAAGACCAAGUUGGUUUUUAGAAAUCUAUUUAAAAUAUCUAUCAUGUAUCUAUUUACUGUGUUUUUCUGAAUACGCAAGUGUAAAUAGUAUAAUUUGCAGUGCAAAAUCCUUGGCAAUAACUUUGUGUAUUAUGUUUAAAAACACUGGAAACCGUGACCACCAUGGACUGCCCUUCCCCUCUGAGGCAAUUAUUACAUGUAGGACUCUGAACUUUAAACCUUCAGCGUGACUGAAGCAGCAGCCUGCACAUGUGGAUGGUCAUCAGUGCCUCGCCCAGAGAUACCUGGCCUUCAUCCAAAGGGACCCUGCUGCCACAAGUCCUCCAGGCAGCACCCGCACUGUGGCUCCUUCGCACUGAGUAUGUUGGACUCUGCCAUAGACUGACCCUCUUGUCUGGCUGCUGCAGUUUGUCUGUAAUGCCCUGACAUGUUGCAUUCUCCCCAUUUGGAUAAAUAAAAACAAACAAAUGCUUCUGUCACACACA
Homo sapiens (human) is the source of this 14446-nucleotide RNA transcript. It is a transcript of the gene named spermatid perinuclear RNA binding protein, with no coding region annotated. The transcript has 19 exons. Lineage: Eukaryota; Metazoa; Chordata; Mammalia; Primates; Hominidae. The record is from RefSeq and is marked validated.